CCCUUCGGGGUGAAGAUAAGACGGAUUAGCGGCGGACGGGUGAGUAACACGUGAGUAACCUGCCUUUUACACAGGGAUAGCCUCGGGAAACCGGGAUUAAAACCUGAUGAAACUAUCAAAUCACAUGAUUAAGAAAGUUAAAACUCCGGUGGUAAAAGAUGGACUCGCGUCCCAUUAGCUAGUUGGUGAAGGUAACGGCCCACCAAGGCAACGAUGGGUAGCCGGCCUGAGAGGGUGAACGGCCACAUUGGAACUGAGAAACGGUCCAAACUCCUACGGGAGGCAGCAGGU
Molecule: ribosomal RNA, 291 nt
Filed under: uncultured Peptoniphilus sp.
Lineage: Bacteria; Bacillati; Bacillota; Tissierellia; Tissierellales; Peptoniphilaceae
Description: partial 16S ribosomal RNA
Rfam family: Bacterial small subunit ribosomal RNA
Source: RNAcentral